CCUCCUGGAGUUGGUACAACAGCGCGUCCCUGCCCUCAGCUGCUUCACACACGUUCUCCAAGGGAGAUCUUGGCUGCGCGUCCCUCGAGGAUAUUUCCGUCCUCUAGGGGGGUGAAACCACCCCUGAAAUACAACGAGCUGUUGUCUCCCCCUCCGAUAAACGGGGCCAGGCGUCUGCUAGGACACAGAGAGACGGCCCUGCAGGUGGAGCGCGGGGCAGGCGGGAGCUCAGCCUUCAGCUCCACCUGUGCCAGAGUCCUCUGCCCGACCUUGAGCUGCUCGCUCGGGUCACGCGUGCUGCUGAAUUGCUGGACGCGCUGCGUUGCGCCAACGGCAAGCGUGCUGCAACCGUGCAGGGCAGGCUCCAGACGCUAGAUGUUGCUGUUGCUACGGAUUGGAAAAUUAGUGCUCGCUUCAGCUGUGUCAUAACCAGGGAAUUAGAGCGGCACCCUUCAGGAAAUACGGUCUGAACAAGAAAGAUUGUCUAGCAUCCCAUUAGAAGGGCUGCCCUUUUCAUCCUUGGAAGCAGUUGGUACUCUUGCUGAAUCUAAUUCACCUGGCUGUUUUCCAGACCUCUGCUCUGUGAGCUGUUCUGCUUGGGCAGGUACUGCUGUCUCACAGCAAAUUGUUAAGCAGCCAGAAAUAUUACUGUCCCCCAAGUGGACAGACACCUCUCACAGACCCUUCCAGAGCAUUGUUUCUCAGGUAUUCUCACCCUGCUUCUGUUUUUCCUUCGCCUCUGGUGCUGUUUCAGUCCCCAACCCUGCAUGUAUAUAUGCAGGUGUUUUUUUUAUGGAUGUGAGCAAUCACACUGCCUCCAGUGAGAAUAUUCACAUGACCAAAAUCAUGCACUUGCAUAGGGAUUUCCUGAAUCAAGGGCAUAAAAGGAAAUGGCCAGGUUAAUAACGGGCUGGUUUUAUCCCUGAUGUAAUGUCAUUGACACCAGUGGAAUUAUACAAGGCUGAAAUAGAUCCAGUACGUCCAAACAGGGAACUACCUCCGGCUUCCUCGCCUGCCACUUUCUGUAUUGAUGGUGUAACCAAAGUCAGUCCUCCUUUCUCCAGGUUUGGGCAACUGAGGCUGAGGGAAUUCAGACCACUUUGCACCAGCAAGAGCUGCUCUCCUCUAGCACAGCAUCUCCUGAGAUAUCAGGUGUGCUUGCCCUGCAGAGCUAACAGACAUAUGCUUGUGGAGCUUCACUCACACAUCCUCAUUGCCACACUGAAGCAGCUCUCACCUGUCCUGCCACUUCACUGCUCCUAGCUGAUGCUGAGCCAUUCUGUGGCCUUAGCAGGAGCUGCUGGUCUUGGGGCAAGAGCUCUUGCCCUGCUUUUCUCAGUUGGUGUCUGGUUGUUCCGCUAUGUGUUCUUCUCUUGCAGCAGUGCUUUUUUGGUCUUUGUGGGUAGUAAGUGCUCCAGUUGAAUAUUCACACUUGAAAACAGCUGGUGUGUAAACAUGAAGAUGAUAUAUCUGUAUAAAAGGUUUGUUAGGCUUAGAAGAAUACUCUCUUAAAAAAUGUUCCUCUCUCCCUUCUGUGGCUGUCCUUCCCUUUAUCUGUGGAAUGUUUGGGACCUCCAACCCUCAUUGCUGUGAAGCUCUGAUUUGGCAGCUCUGUGAACUUGCCCUCAGCUAGACUUCAGUGUGGUUCAGCAUCGUUUCUUCUGGUCUACAAAAGCAUGUUCCCUACCUGCCUGCUCAUGCAAAUACUCCCUAACAUGGGAUGGACCUCCAAAUUUCCAAAAUUAUGGAGCCAGGAGAGGGAGGAAUAGGGGAAAAAAACAGCGCUAAAACACCCUCCAGCAUCCAGGGCUCAUGACUGCUUUGACAAGAUCUAUCUUUAGUUAUAAUAGUGAGUCACAUCAUUGUGAUUUGACUUUACGGUUAGUUUGAGGUAUGAGCCAGGCCAUGGGAUUGAGAGCGAGAGCAUCACGGGAUGCAGCUGUAAAAUUCCACUACUCUGUAGAUCAGGUUUGAAGAGCAUUAAGAAACAGGAAGCAGACAGGGGAGGGUGGGUUUUUGUGUGCGUGGGUUUUUUUUGUUCUGUUUUGCUUCUUUUUUUUUCAGCGGAAAAUGAUCGCAGUGCCCGCUGCAUUGUGAUGUUGAGCAGCACAGGGAGCGGAACGGAGGGCGUGUAUCGGUAGUGUUGGCACCAGGAGAUUGAGGGGUGCUCCCUCCCAGGUGGACGCGUGCUGCUCCGUAACAGGAAUCGCAGGCAACCCCGGGCAGAGCUCCUGGGAUGUGAAAUGUGGGCAUGAUUCCUGAGAUAUAAACACCUUCUGUGCCUGAGAUGGGCUACAGGUUGGCUUUAGCACAAAGAAAUUAAUAAAUAACCAGGUGGUGAAGAUUAUGUGACAGACAUAAUAAUGCUCCUGCACUCCAGGGCAUUGUGGAUGAGAACCCAUAUCACAAACACCAGUGACAGUUUUCUAGAUUGAUGGGUGUAAUUGCAGUGGAGACUGCUUGCCAAGCCCCCUCCCUGAAAUGAUUGCAUAACCCAGCUGUUGCAUGUGUGGGAAAAAAAAAAAAAGAAAAGAAAAGAAAAAGGGAGGAAACCAAUCCUAUUCUAUAUGAAGCUGAAUUGUUAUUGCAGAAGGUAAACAGCAAGGAGCCUAGUCCCCAGAGCAGCAGAGGAGAUGGUAUCUACAGCUCAUUUCAGGUAUGCAGAGACUGAAUCAGGAGCUGUCUCAUUCGAGGUCAAAAGAGCCAUCUGCAAAGAGUCUACCCAGAACAGGGCUUCCAUAGUUCUGAAAUCUCUGGAUCUACAAUGCUCAUUUUUUGGACAUAUUGUUACUUGUAAUGUUACUGGGUGGCAAGAAGGGAAGGAUGCAAAAGAGUGGAUAAAAGGCAGUAGAUCAUUUUUGGCACCUGAAUACCAUGUUUUUCUACUGAACAUCUGCAGACAGACACACUGUUUAAGCCAAAGUGAAGAGGGAAGCAAGAGGGGAAAACCACAGUGUCAAAAUACACAACGGCUUGUGAGAUGAACCGCUGCAUUGCCCCUCAUCUACACUUGCAGAUAUGGCAGCACUGGUGGAGUCAGCAAAACCAUGCUUUGUCCUCCAAUUACUUAGUUGAAUUGUGCUGGAUGGACACCAGUGACUGAUGGAGGGAUGCUGGACCCAGCCCAUAUCUAGGACAGCGAGCGUGCCGUGCCUGGUUCCUGCCAACAGUAGAACUUCAGCAGUAGAAAGGUGGUAACCACUGAAUAAUGUUUGAGAUACCUGCGUGCUGGGUGGCAAACAUAACAGAAAUGUCUCUAGGAAGCCUACCUGUGAAGGACUGGAACCAUAUACACAAAGUAUAAUGCAGAACUCAACUAAGUAAUGAAGUUGAAAAGAAGAAGUCCAGUUCUUAAACUCGGUGCACUGAGUGCUUAAUGUUCUUAGUUGAAAGAAUAUCUGACCUUGCAAUAAAAAGAUGUGAUAAAGUGAAUGCACUGAAAGGAUAAUUAAACCUAUUCAGACCAUCAUGAUCAUUUCAUCAAACUUCCUGCAAAAUUCAGACCAUCAGUCCUUAGUCUACAAUUCAGAUUUCCAGCCUUGAACUAAUCUUUGGGCUAUAAUAUGUGUGACUGCUGAGAUGGUAUUAAUUUGGUGUUGAAACACUGCUUGCAUUUUGGCUUGCACUAUUGAUGUGAUAUUACAGUGUAGACAUCCCAGGUUUGCCUAUCGACAUAUGCACAAAGGCUUUCUGUGCAAAGUUUUAUUUUAAAUGUUGCUGAAGAAGUCUCACUUCACAUUUAUGCUUA
Molecule: non-coding RNA, 3748 nt
Organism: Phasianus colchicus (ring-necked pheasant)
Lineage: Eukaryota; Metazoa; Chordata; Aves; Galliformes; Phasianidae
Source: RefSeq, a predicted model, not a curated record